GAUGAACGCUGGCGGCGUGCCUAAUACAUGCAAGUCGAGCGAACGGACGAGAAGCUUGCUUCUCUGAUGUUAGCGGCGGACAGGUGAGUAACACGUGGAUAACCUACCUAUAAGACUGGGAUAACUUCGGGAAACCGGAGCUAAUACCGGAUAAUAUUUUGAACCGCAUGGUUCAAAAGUGAAAGACGGUCUUGCUGUCACUUAUAGGUGGAUCCGCGCUGCAUUAGCUAGUUGGUAAGGUAACGGCUUACCAAGGCAACGAUGCAUAGCCGACCUGAGAGGGUGAUCGGCCACACUGGAACUGAGACACGGUCCAGACUCCUACGGGAGGCAGCAGUAGGGAAUCUUCCGCAAUGGGCGAAAGCCUGACGGAGCAACGCCGCGUGAGUGAUGAAGGUCUUCGGAUCGUAAAACUCUGUUAUUAGGGAAGAACAUAUGUGUAAGUAACUGUGCACAUCUUGACGGUACCUAAUCAGAAAGCCACGGCUAACUACGUGCCAGCAGCCGCGGUAAUACGUAGGUGGCAAGCGUUAUCCGGAAUUAUUGGGCGUAAAGCGCGCGUAGGCGGUUUUUUAAGUCUGAUGUGAAAGCCCACGGCUCAACCGUGGAGGGUCAUUGGAAACUGGAAAACUUGAGUGCAGAAGAGGAAAGUGGAAUUCCAUGUGUAGCGGUGAAAUGCGCAGAGAUAUGGAGGAACACCAGUGGCGAAGGCGACUUUCUGGUCUGUAACUGACGCUGAUGUGCGAAAGCGUGGGGAUCAAACAGGAUUAGAUACCCUGGUAGUCCACGCCGUAAACGAUGAGUGCUAAGUGUUAGGGGGUUUCCGCCCCUUAGUGCUGCAGCUAACGCAUUAAGCACUCCGCCUGGGGAGUACGACCGCAAGGUUGAAACUCAAAGGAAUUGACGGGGACCCGCACAAGCGGUGGAGCAUGUGGUUUAGUUCGAAGCAACGCGAAGAACCUUACCAAAUCUUGACAUCCUUUGACAACUCUAGAGAUAGAGCCUUCCCCUUCGGGGGACAAAGUGACAGGUGGUGCAUGGUUGUCGUCAGCUCGUGUCGUGAGAUGUUGGGUUAAGUCCCGCAACGAGCGCAACCCUUAAGCUUAGUUGCCAUCAUUAAGUUGGGCACUCUAAGUUGACUGCCGGUGACAAACCGGAGGAAGGUGGGGAUGACGUCAAAUCAUCAUGCCCCUUAUGAUUUGGGCUACACACGUGCUACAAUGGACAAUACAAAGGGCAGCGAAACCGCGAGGUCAAGCAAAUCCCAUAAAGUUGUUCUCAGUUCGGAUUGUAGUCUGCAACUCGACUACAUGAAGCUGGAAUCGCUAGUAAUCGUAGAUCAGCAUGCUACGGUGAAUACGUUCCCGGGUCU
This 1372-nucleotide ribosomal RNA is filed under the name uncultured bacterium. Its description in RNAcentral is "bacterial SSU rRNA". It matches the Rfam family "Bacterial small subunit ribosomal RNA", at positions 28 to 1381 of the family's 1533-position model. The record is from RNAcentral.